Molecule: ribosomal RNA, 292 nt
Filed under: uncultured bacterium
Lineage: Bacteria
Description: partial 16S ribosomal RNA
Rfam family: Bacterial small subunit ribosomal RNA
Source: RNAcentral
GUGCCAGCAGCCGCGGUAAUACGGAAGGGGCGAGCGUUGUUCGGAAUCAUUGGGCGUAAAGGGCGCGUAGGUGGUUUUGUAUGUCUGCCGUGAAAGGGUACAGCUUAACUGUAGCUUGUCGGUGGAAACUGCAGGACUUGAGGCUGGGAGGGGCUGGUGGAAUUCCCUGUGUAGCGGUGAAAUGCGUAGAGAUGGGGGAGAACACUCGUGGCGAAGGCGGCCAGCUAGACCAGUUCUGACACUGAGGCGCGACAGCGUGGGGAGCAAACAGGAUUAGAUACCCCGGUAGUCC